AAGUCGUAACAAGGUUUCCGUAGGUGAACCUGCGGAAGGAUCAUUAAUAAAUGCUUCAUUGCAUCCACCUUUUGUGCACCGUAAAUUUUUUCACUUAAAUUUUGUCUGAUUGAUCUUUGUUCUGAAUGGAACAUGAAUUGUAAUCAAAUACAACUUUUAACAAUGGAUCUCUUGGCUCUC
This 180-nucleotide unclassified non-coding RNA is filed under the name Olpidium brassicae. Its description in RNAcentral is "partial internal transcribed spacer region". The stretch from base 1 to 46 matches the Rfam family "Eukaryotic small subunit ribosomal RNA", at positions 1786 to 1831 of the family's 1831-position model. Lineage: Eukaryota; Fungi; Olpidiomycota; Olpidiomycetes; Olpidiales; Olpidiaceae. The record is from RNAcentral.